AUGCAUUGUUGAAUGUGUUUGUUUAUGGUCAUCUAAGCCAUUUUUCAUCUCGCCAAUUCUUUGUUCAAGCAGUUUUUGGAUAAUCGAACCGAUAGACUACACCCGCAGAAAUGAUGUUUAGAUGACCAUCAACAAACAACUUCCUCUUAUUGCAU
RNAcentral lists this microRNA precursor (155 nucleotides) under Gossypium hirsutum (cotton). Its description in RNAcentral is "miR827c stem-loop (ghr-MIR827c)". Its record names the gene ghr-MIR827c. The record is from miRBase by way of RNAcentral. Lineage: Eukaryota; Viridiplantae; Streptophyta; Magnoliopsida; Malvales; Malvaceae.